RNAcentral lists this non-coding RNA (351 nucleotides) under Staphylococcus aureus. It matches the Rfam family "S. aureus tsr24 small RNA". Lineage: Bacteria; Bacillati; Bacillota; Bacilli; Caryophanales; Staphylococcaceae. The record is from RNAcentral.
AGGUCAUAGGAUAAAACAAAUUGAGAAUUUGUCGCUAUUUGUAAAUUGUAUCCUGGCUUAAGUUGGCCAAAGUGUCUUAUUUUUUUAAAGUAUUUAAAAGUAAAAUUACAUGUUAAUACGUAGUAUUAAUGGCGAGACUCCUGAGGGAGCAGUGCCAGUCGAAGACAGGGCCCCAACACAGAAGCUGACAUAUAGUCAGCUUACAACAAUGUGCCGGUUGGGGUGGCUGAGACGGCACCCUAGGAAGGGACCCGUCAUCAAAAAUUCUAUUUAUAGAAUUUUACAGUAAUGUGCCAGACGGGCAAAGCGAAGCCAUUCAAUACGAAGUAUUGUAUAAAUAGAGAACAGCAG